Gekko japonicus is the source of this 72-nucleotide non-coding RNA. The record is from the annotation of a RefSeq genome assembly. Lineage: Eukaryota; Metazoa; Chordata; Lepidosauria; Squamata; Gekkonidae.
GGGGCUGUGGCUCAGUGGCAGAGCACCUGCUCGUCAUGCAGAAGGUCCCAGGUUCAAUCCCUGGCUGCAUCU